RNAcentral lists this ribosomal RNA (424 nucleotides) under uncultured bacterium. Its description in RNAcentral is "bacterial SSU rRNA". It matches the Rfam family "Bacterial small subunit ribosomal RNA", at positions 355 to 776 of the family's 1533-position model. The record is from RNAcentral.
UGAGGAAUAUUGGUCAAUGGGCGCAAGCCUGAACCAGCCAUGCCGCGUGAAGGAUGAAGGCCUUCUGGGUUGUAAACUUCUUUUAUGGGGGAAGAAAAUUAUGGUUUCUACUAUAACCGACGGUACCCUAGGAAUAAGCACCGGCUAACUCCGUGCCAGCAGCCGCGGUAAUACGGAGGGUGCAAGCGUUAUCCGGAUUUACUGGGUUUAAAGGGUGUGUAGGCGGGCUUGUAAGUCAGUGGUGAAAUCUUUCCGCUCAACGGGAAAACUGCCAUUGAUACUAUAAGUCUUGAAUUCUGUUGAGGUUGGCGGAAUAUGUCAUGUAGCGGUGAAAUGCAUAGAUAUGACAUAGAACACCGAUAGCGGAGGCAGCUGACCAAGCAGAGAUUGACGCUGAGGCACGAAAGCGUGGGGAUCAAACAGG